This 407-nucleotide ribosomal RNA is filed under the name uncultured bacterium. RNAcentral's name for it is "partial 16S ribosomal RNA". It matches the Rfam family "Bacterial small subunit ribosomal RNA", at positions 30 to 526 of the family's 1533-position model. The record is from RNAcentral.
AUUGAACGCUAGCGGCAUGCCUUACACAUGCAAGUCGAACGGCGUGUCGAACGGGGGAGUAAUGUAUCGGAACGUGCCCAUUGGUGGGGGAUAACUACGCGAAAGCGUAGCUAAUACCGCAUACUAUUGGAGCGGCCGAUAUCGGAUUAGCUAGUUGGUGGGGUAAAGGCGCACCAAGGCGACGAUCCGUAGCUGGUUUGAGAGGACGACCAGCCACACGGGGACUGAGACACGGCCCAGACUCCUACGGGAGGGAGCAGUGGGGAAUUUUGGGCAAUGGGGGAAACCCUGAUCCAGCCAUCCCGCGUGAGCGAUGAAGGCCUUCGGGUUGUAAAGCACUUUUGGCAGCGAAGCGGUACCUACAGAAUAAGCACCGGCUAACUACGUGCCAGCAGCCGCGGUAAUAC